GACGAACGCUGGCGGCGUGCCUAAUACAUGCAAGUCGAGCGAGCUUGCCUAGAUGAAUUUGGUGCUUGCACCAAAUGAAACUAGAUACAAGCGAGCGGCGGACGGGUGAGUAACACGUGGGUAACCUGCCCAAGAGACUGGGAUAACACCUGGAAACAGAUGCUAAUACCGGAUAACAACACUAGACGCAUGUCUAGAGUUUAAAAGAUGGUUCUGCUAUCACUCUUGGAUGGACCUGCGGUGCAUUAGCUAGUUGGUAAGGUAACGGCUUACCAAGGCAAUGAUGCAUAGCCGAGUUGAGAGACUGAUCGGCCACAUUGGGGCUGAGACACGGCCCAAACUCCUACGGGAGGCAGCAGUAGGGAAUCUUCCACAAUGGACGCAAGUCUGAUGGAGCAACGCCGCGUGAGUGAAGAAGGGUUUCGGCUCGUAAAGCUCUGUUGGUAGUGAAGAAAGAUAGAGGUAGUAACUGGCCUUUAUUUGACGGUAAUUACUUAGAAAGUCACGGCUAACUACGUGCCAGCAGCCGCGGUAAUACGUAGGUGGCAAGCGUUGUCCGGAUUUAUUGGGCGUAAAGCGAGUGCAGGCGGUUCAAUAAGUCUGAUGUGAAAGCCUUCGGCUCAACCGGAGAAUUGCAUCAGAAACUGUUGAACUUGAGUGCAGAAGAGGAGAGUGGAACUCCAUGUGUAGCGGUGGAAUGCGUAGAUAUAUGGAAGAACACCAGUGGCGAAGGCGGCUCUCUGGUCUGCAACUGACGCUGAGGCUCGAAAGCAUGGGUAGCGAACAGG
Molecule: ribosomal RNA, 788 nt
Filed under: uncultured Lactobacillus sp.
Lineage: Bacteria; Bacillati; Bacillota; Bacilli; Lactobacillales; Lactobacillaceae
Description: bacterial SSU rRNA
Rfam family: Bacterial small subunit ribosomal RNA
Source: RNAcentral